AAUGGUUAGGUAAUACACCUUAUCGCUGAGAAUAACCAGGCGAAAGCUUGGCUAAUACUGAAUGAUCCGACGAGAACUGAGGUUCUUUUCGGUAAAGCCGUAAGGCGCGAUAAGAGUAGCCUAACUCCCAUUAGCUAGUUGGUAGGGUAAAAGCCUACCAAGGCUUCGAUGGGUAGCUGGUCUGAGAGGAUGAUCAGCCACACUGGAACUGGAACACGGUCCAGACUCCUACGGGAGGCAGCAGUUAGGAAUCUUGCGCAAUGGGGGAAACCCUGACGCAGCAACGCCGCGUGAGUGAUGAAGGCCUUCGGGUUGUAAAGCUCUUUUAGUUGGGAAGAAAAAAAUGACGGUACCAACAGAAACAGCACCGGCUAACCCUGUGCCAGCAGCCGCGGUAAUACAGGGGGUGCAAGCGUUAUUCGGAAUUAUUGGGCGUAAAGAGCGUGUAGGCUGCUUGAUAAGUCUAGUGUGAAAGCCCCGGGCUCAAUCCGGGAAGUGCAUUGGAUACUGUCGAGCUAGAGUGCAGGAGAGGUGAGCGGAAUUCCAGGUGUAGAGGUGAAAUUCGUAGAUAUCUGGAGG
Molecule: ribosomal RNA, 579 nt
Filed under: uncultured bacterium
Lineage: Bacteria
Description: bacterial SSU rRNA
Rfam family: Bacterial small subunit ribosomal RNA
Source: RNAcentral